This 468-nucleotide ribosomal RNA is filed under the name uncultured bacterium. RNAcentral's name for it is "partial 16S ribosomal RNA". It matches the Rfam family "Bacterial small subunit ribosomal RNA", at positions 28 to 507 of the family's 1533-position model. The record is from RNAcentral.
GACGAACGCUGGCGGCGUGCUUAACACAUGCAAGUCGAACGGAAAGGCCCUGCUUUUGUGGGGUGCUCGAGUGGCGAACGGGUGAGUAACACGUGAGUAACCUGCCCUUGACUUUGGGAUAACUUCAGGAAACUGAGGCUAAUACCGGAUAGGAGCUCCUGCUGCAUGGUGGGGGUUGGAAAGUUUCGGCGGUUGGGGAUGGACUCGCGGCUUAUCAGCUUGUUGGUGGGGUAGUGGCUUACCAAGGCUUUGACGGGUAGCCGGCCUGAGAGGGUGACCGGCCACAUUGGGACUGAGAUACGGCCCAGACUCCUACGGGAGGCAGCAGUGGGGAAUAUUGCACAAUGGGCGGAAGCCUGAUGCAGCAACGCCGCGUGCGGGAUGACGGCCUUCGGGUUGUAAACUGCUUUCGCCUGUGACGAAGCGUGAGUGACGGUAAUGGGUAAAGAAGCACCGGCUAACUACGUG